Molecule: non-coding RNA, 99 nt
Organism: Hypoxylon sp. FL1150
Lineage: Eukaryota; Fungi; Ascomycota; Sordariomycetes; Xylariales; Hypoxylaceae
Source: the annotation of a GenBank genome assembly
UCCUCAGUGGCGCAAUUGGCUAGCGCUUCUAAAGAUUGCUAUCUGGGUAUUCAGUAGGUAGUCAUCAGACGGUUGAAAGUUCGAGUCUUUCCCGAGGAG